UAACAGUCGAUAAAACACGAAGCGAUCAGUAUAGACAAAAUCAGUGUAAAUCUAUUCUGAGGACUGAGCUAUAUUUGAGGUAAUAGACACCUUAAGAUUGACGUUUACGGCAAACGUCAAACCGCUAACAAAAUUUUUGAUUUUACAACUCUAUUAUAACAGCUUUUAAACCAGUUUUGAAAUAUAUCAAACAAUUAUUAAACUUGUGGUAUUUAGCAAUGAUUUAAGAAAGCAAAUUAACCACUAGUCACGAAUUGACCAAAGCAGUAAAUUAAGAUUUGGCGUUUGAAGUUUACGUUUGGCGUAUAAAUUUCAUGCUUGAACUGCUACGAGGGCUUGUAGUCGUUAAAGCAUGAAAUUUAUACGCCAAACGUAAACUUCAAACGCCAAAUCUUAAUUUACUGC
Molecule: long non-coding RNA, 405 nt
Filed under: Paramuricea clavata
Lineage: Eukaryota; Metazoa; Cnidaria; Anthozoa; Malacalcyonacea; Plexauridae
Source: RNAcentral